Molecule: ribosomal RNA, 483 nt
Filed under: uncultured bacterium
Lineage: Bacteria
Description: partial 16S ribosomal RNA
Rfam family: Bacterial small subunit ribosomal RNA
Source: RNAcentral
AUUGAACGCUGGCGGCAUGCUUUACACAUGCAAGUCGAACGGCAGCGCGGGCUUCGGCCUGGCGGCGAGUGGCGAACGGGUGAGUAAUGCAUCGGAACGUGCCCAGUAGUGGGGGAUAGCCCGGCGAAAGCCGGAUUAAUACCGCAUACGACCUGAGGGUGAAAGCGGGGGACCGAAAGGCCUCGCGCUAUUGGAGCGGCCGAUGUCGGAUUAGCUAGUUGGUGGGGUAAAGGCUUACCAAGGCGACGAUCCGUAGCUGGUCUGAGAGGACGACCAGCCAACUGGGGAAUGAGACCGGGCCCAAACCCCCAGGGGGGGCAGAGGGGGGGAAUUUUGGAAAAGGGGGGAACCCCUGACCCGGCCAUGCCGGGGGGGGGAAGAAGGCCUUCGGGUUGUAAACCGUUUUUUUUGGGGAAAAAACCCUCGGGGCUAAAACCCCGGGGGGAUGGCGGGACCGGAAAAAAAAGCCCCGGCAAACUACUG